GGCAGACAUUUUGGAAAUUCCAACGCCAAAUUCCACAUCUACCAAUGUUGCUCAUCGUUACCAUGAAGUUUCAAAAAAUUUGGAGCAUUUUGAUGUUUUUGAAAUUUUUGGUGCAGUUUCCAUGGCAACAUAGUAGUUCCAAUGAUUGCCAAAAUCAUCCAAAACCAGUAUAUGGCCGGCACCUACAUUGUAUCAAAAUAUGAGGAGUCUGAGUUUAAGAAUCUCCAAAUUAUUCACCAAAACCAAAAACUGGUUUUUUUCACAAUUAUUCUGUUUCCAUGGAAACGGCAGCCAUUUUUUAUGGUCUUAGACCCACCUGCACCCCGAAAUUUUUUGUUCCACCUUAUAGUGAACUAUCAUUAAGAUUGGUUCCAUUUCACUCCAAAAAACCUGCCGGACAAAAUAGGUGGAAGUAUAAUAAUAAUAAUACAGAAAAAGAAACAGAGGAAAAGCAAUAUGUCACCCGACAUUGUCGAUCGGGUGACAUAAAAUAAUAGUGAAAAAGAAACAGAGGAAUAGCAAUAUGUCACCCGACAUUGUCGAUCGGGUGACAUAAUAAUAAUAAUAAUAAUAAUAAUAGUGAAAAAGAAACAGAGGAAUAGCAAUAUGUCACCCGACAUUGUCGAUCGGGUGACAUAAAAACUAGAAUUGCCAUUGCAAGCAAUAGCGGAUGUCACCCUGGU
Molecule: long non-coding RNA, 683 nt
Filed under: Mytilus galloprovincialis (Mediterranean mussel)
Lineage: Eukaryota; Metazoa; Mollusca; Bivalvia; Mytilida; Mytilidae
Source: RNAcentral